UUCUGCCUCAGCCUCCCAAGUAGCUGGGAUUACAGCUUCUGGCCACAAGCAUAUUUCUGUACACCUGAGUUCUCCUGAAAUUUGAGACACAACACAAUAUCCCACACACUCCUUUUUCAGUGUCACCUCUUUUUCUGGCCUGAGCCCAAGGCUGAUUCCUACAGAGUCCCUUUGGCUUCCUUUCCCUGCUGGCC
Homo sapiens (human) is the source of this 194-nucleotide long non-coding RNA. RefSeq lists it as uncharacterized. NCBI's taxonomy places the organism in Eukaryota, Metazoa, Chordata, Mammalia, Primates, Hominidae. The transcript has 3 exons. The record is from RefSeq and is a predicted model, not a curated record.